UCAUUAUUGAAACAUUGUAAAGGAAGGUUGAGCUGGCUCUUCACGGGCAAGUGCUCGCUUUUCUUUCAAUCUUCAUCCACCUGUGCACUUUUUGUAGAGAAGACUGAGAAAGGACCUUGUAAAAGAGGUCUUAGUAUUGGGCUCCUCUAUGUUUUACACACUCUUGAACGUAUGUCUUUGAAUGUCUUUUAUAGGGACUUAAUUGACCCUUUAAAAACUUAUACAACUUUCAGCAACGGAUCUCUUGGCUCUCGCAUCGAUGAAGAACGCAGCGAAAUGCGAUAAGUAAUGUGAAUUGCAGAAUUCAGUGAAUCAUCGAAUCUUUGAACGCACCUUGCGCCUCUUGGUAUUCCGAGAGGCAUGCCUGUUUGAGUGUCAUUAAAUUCUCAACCUCAAAAGCUUUUUGUUUCUGAGGCUUGGAUGUGGAGGCUUGCUGGCUUGUUUAGAGUCGGCUCCUCUGAAAUGCAUUAGUAGAGACUGUUUUGUGGUCCACAUUGGUGUGAUAAUUAUCUACGCCAUUGUGGCUACAGCUCUGUAGUGUUCGCUUGGGAAGCUGCAUUUACUUGCUCUUUCUGCUUUUGAAUGACCUACACGAGUCUAGUAUCUGCUUCAAACCGUCCUAAGUCACUGGACAAUACUUGACUAUUUUGACCUCAAAUCAGGUAGGACUACCCGCUGAACUUAAGCAUAUCAAUAAGCGGAGGAAAAGAAACUAACAAGGAUUCCCCUAGUAACUGCGAGUGAAGAGGGAAAAGCUCAAAUUUAAAAUCUGGCAGUCUUUGGCUGUCCGAGUUGUAAUUUAGAGAAGUGUUACCCGCGCUGGACCGUGUACAAGUCUCCUGGAAUGGAGCGUCAUAGAGGGUGAGAAUCCCGUCUUUGACACGGACUACCAGGGCAUUGUGGUACGCUCUCGAAGAGUCGAGUUGUUUGGGAAUGCAGCUCUAAAUGGGUGGUAAAUUCCAUCUAAAGCUAAAUAUUGGCGAGAGACCGAUAGCGAACAAGUACCGUGAGGGAAAGAUGAAAAGAACUUUGGAAAGAGAGUUAAACAGUACGUGAAAUUGCUGAAAGGGAAACGCUUGAAGUCAGUCGCGUCGUCCGGGGAUCAGCCUUGCUUCUGUGAGGUGUACUUCCUGGUUGACGGGUCAGCAUCAGUUUUGACCACUGGAAAAAGGCUUGGGGAAUGUGGCACCUUCGGGUGUGUUAUAGCCCCUUGUCGUAUANCAGUGGUUGGGANCUGAGGAACUCAGCACGCCGCAAGGCCCGGGAUUCGUCCACGU
RNAcentral lists this ribosomal RNA (1277 nucleotides) under uncultured fungus. Its description in RNAcentral is "eukaryotic LSU rRNA". The stretch from base 649 to 1277 matches the Rfam family "Eukaryotic large subunit ribosomal RNA", at positions 1 to 616 of the family's 3401-position model. The record is from RNAcentral. Lineage: Eukaryota; Fungi.